Molecule: transfer RNA, 76 nt
Filed under: Pseudomonadota bacterium
Lineage: Bacteria; Pseudomonadati; Pseudomonadota
Also listed under: 1 other name
Description: tRNA-Val
Rfam family: tRNA
About the family: Transfer RNA (tRNA) molecules are approximately 80 nucleotides in length.
Source: RNAcentral
GGACAGUUAGCUCAGUUGGUAGAGCAACGCGUUUACACCGCGUAGGUCGGGAGUUCGAGCCUCUCACUGUCCACCA